UACAGCUUCUCUGUCAUCUGC
Molecule: non-coding RNA, 21 nt
Filed under: Caenorhabditis elegans
Lineage: Eukaryota; Metazoa; Nematoda; Chromadorea; Rhabditida; Rhabditidae
Source: RNAcentral